AGAUGAAGGAUUGCCAGAGACAAGCACUGAACAGCAGCAGAAAGCCGGUGACUAUUAACACACACUUCUUGACUUAUAUAUGCAACUGUCAGAUGGGACGAUUCAUCCACUUUGUUCAGAGCCAAAAUAUCCAGCUAUGGAGAGUGCGCCUGGGAAGCCUCUACAUUGGUGUGCAUUUCAAUAAUCUCAAAAACAUCUGCAGUACCCUUCUCCACAGACUCUUCUGACGCAGUUUGAAAAUGUUAUAUAGGUGGGAAAUUUCCGUAGCAGAAUGAAGUAUAAAUACUUAUAAACUCACAAUGAGGACGUGAGGCAAAGCGAUUCAAUCCUACAGUUGGCACUAAAACUUUGGUCCCCUGGAGCAAUUCUGUCAUCUUGACCUGAAUAUGGUUCUUCUAUAUACAUUCUGAAGAAUGGCAGUGUGUGACAGGCUUAUGUCGCUCAUGGGGCCUUUAGUUUAUGCAUUCCUGGCACAGCUCUUGCAGUAGCUCAAAACUCCUGGCAGGACUACGAACUGGAAGUACAGAUGAAAUAAAUCCUCUCUUCCCCUAAAUUGCUUUCGGUUGAGUGUUUUAUCAUAGCAACAGAAAAGCAAACUAGAAUAAGAAUGAUAUCAAAUACAUUAGUCUGAGGGAGAAAGAAGAAGAAGAAGAGGAAGAGGAAGAGGGAGGAAGAGGGAGGAAGAGGAAGAGAGAGAAAGAAGAAGAAGAAGAAGAAGAAGAAGAAGAAGAAGAAGAAGAAGAAGAAGAAGAAGAAGAAGAAGAAGAAGAAGAAGAAGAAGAAGAAGAAGAAGAAGAAGAAGAAGAACCAGGCACAUGAGUGUCUGUCUAUGUGGCCCUGACUUCCUAGAGCCUACUAUGAAGAUCAGGCUGUCCUCAAACUCUCAGAGAUCACUUGCCUCCCCAGUGCUGGGAUCAAAGGCCACCACACCCUGUAUAGAAUGCCCAACGACAUCUGGGACAAAGCACAGCUGUUCAUUUGGAAUGUUCUUUCAAGCCCAAGAGCCAUUGCAAAUGUGUUUGUCCUUAUGCCCAUAUCCUCAAGUAAAGACAAGUUUAGAGAGUAACAGAAAUAUACAAUAUUAUACAAGGCAGACUUCAUAAACUUCUAUGCUCCAUUGGACCAUGCCAUCAGACUGCAUUGAGAGGUAAAGAAAAGCUUUUAUGAGUAAGAACCGGAUAUGAAGAAGACACAUAUCUAAGAUAAAUAUAUAUUAAGCACAACUGAAGAGCCUCAGGUCCCAUCUUCAUAGUGUGCAGCUGUGGCAAAUACAACUGGCUUAUAAACAUGGCUCUCCCUAGCCACAGUUCCAGUACACUGUGCAAGCAUUGCAAGGGAUGUCAAUACAGUCAAUAAAUAUUUAUCAUGUCUUCCCUGGAA
RNAcentral lists this long non-coding RNA (1380 nucleotides) under Mus musculus (house mouse). RNAcentral's name for it is "predicted gene, 50136". Lineage: Eukaryota; Metazoa; Chordata; Mammalia; Rodentia; Muridae. The record is from RNAcentral.